GUACUGGCAGUGAAUUGCGGAACGCAACCUUUGUUUGAGAUACAUCCGAGAUACGAGAACUCGGUGCGACAACUAUAUCCAAGAAAUCUAACCGAGAUCUAGCAUGGACACAAGGCUUUAGCGUGUUCGUUUCUUCGAUGAGAACGAGCCAAGGUCUACGCAUUCGGUAAGGUCGUGACGCGAUCGGAGCGAUGCGUAGGUUCGUACGGUUGUUCUUGCUCGUCGUUUAUUCGCGUAGCUUUAGAGCAACGCGAGCAACGUGAUCGGUGGUUCGUCAACGUGAUGACGUCAGAUCUUGAAGCAUAGGCUGAGAACGCGUUUGAAGGCGACUAGGGCGUGAAAGCGUGCGUUCCUUCAUCUCGGCUGAAAGUAUGUGCAAAUAGCAGCGCGUGUAUUCGCUUGAUCUGCGAGAUAAUUAUGUUCGGUGCUGCUUUGACGUGAUCGACAGUGAAUAGUGUACCAUGUUUCGCUGCAUUCCGAUUUUUAAGGGAUGUAAUAGGCAGGUGGAAUACGUUGACAAGCGUCACUGCUCUCUGCCGUGCGUCCCCGACGAUAUUUUACGAUACUCUCGGAGUCUGGAGGAGCUUCUGCUGGACGCGAAUCAUAUCCGUGAUUUGCCAAAAAAUUUCUUUAGACUUCAGAGAUUACGAAAGCUUGGCCUCAGUGACAAUGAGAUAAAUCGUUUGCCACCAGACAUUCAGAACUUUGAGAAUCUUGUGGAAUUGGACGUAUCCAGGAAUGAUAUACCAGACAUUCCUGAGAACAUCAAAAACCUACGAGCGCUACAAGUGGCGGACUUCAGUAGCAAUCCUAUUCCAAGACUUCCAGCAGGAUUUGUACAAUUAAGAAACUUAACUGUGCUCGGACUUAAUGAUAUGUCCCUUACGAACUUGCCACCUGAUUUUGGAAGCUUGGAAGCACUGCAGUCAUUGGAAUUAAGAGAGAAUUUACUCAGAUCCUUGCCUGAAUCACUCUCUCAGCUCUUCAAACUCGAACGGCUGGAUCUCGGUGAUAAUGAAAUUGAGGAAUUGCCUGCACAUGUAGGAAAGUUACCAGCGCUGCAAGAGUUGUGGCUCGAUCACAAUCAAUUGCAACACUUGCCCCCUGAAAUAGGCGAACUCAAGACGCUGGCAUGCUUAGAUGUUUCUGAAAAUCGUUUGGAAGAUCUCCCCAAUGAAAUUGGCGGACUCGAGUCAUUGACAGAUUUGCAUUUAUCGCAGAAUGUUAUCGAAAAAUUACCUGAUGGACUCGGCGAACUCAAGAAAUUAACUAUUCUUAAAGUAGACCAAAAUAGACUUUCUACUUUAAACCCGAAUAUAGGAAGGUGCGAGAAUUUACAAGAGCUGAUUCUUACAGAGAAUUUUCUCUUAGAGUUACCGGUGUCUAUAGGCAAACUCCACAAUUUAAAUAAUUUGAAUGUUGAUAGAAAUAGUGUACAAUCUCUACCAAUAGAAAUUGGAAAUUUAAAGAAACUAGGUGUACUAUCUUUAAGAGACAAUAAAUUACAAUAUCUUCCAACCGAAGUGGGACAAUGCAGUGCACUUCACGUUUUAGAUGUAUCUGGAAAUAGGUUACAGUAUUUACCAUAUUCUUUAAUCAACUUGAGUUUAAAGGCAGUAUGGUUAAGUGAAAACCAGGCGCAACCGAUGCUAACGUUCCAAACGGACGUAGAUGAGGAAACAGGGCAAGAAGUACUAACCUGUUUUCUCCUGCCACAAUUAGAAUUCCAUCCUGAUGAUUCAGGUAGAGUGGGAAUAUUGACUGGUAUGAGAAAUGUUCAUGGUGAAACACGUGAGUUGAGCGAUGACGAAGGUUGGCAAGAAAGAGAAGCAUCAAGGACGCAUUCAGUGAAAUUUACUGAUGAACCACCAGAAGCCGAUAAAGAGACACCAUUCGUACGUCAGAAUACGCCACAUCCAAAAGAACUGAAAGCUAAGGCACAUAAAUUAUUCAGCAAAGGAAGAAGUGAAAGUCGAUCGGCAUCCACAGAUGAACAGGAUGUUUCUCAAACAUUUGGAUUAGAUAAAACCGAAUCAGAGACACCGAUUAAUUCUGCAGACAUGCCACAGGCUGCUUCUGAGCAAGAACAGCUUGUGGAAUGUAGUACUAUACAAAAUGACCAUAAUGUAGCCAUAUCUGAAUCAGAUAACAUGGGUGCUCAGUUUAAUAAAGAAACAGAGAAUUCUGUUCAGUGUGUAGAAUUUAACGCAAAUGUGGAAACUGAAAAUUCUGUCUCAGAAUCAAAGGAAGAGGAUGAAGAGGAAUAUGAAAGCGAAGAUGUGCAGAAACAUGUUGAGUUCAAUAUUAUAGAAGACCCAAAUUAUGAAGAUGGUUCUGAUUCUAAUAAGCCCAAUAAAUUACAACGUAGAGACACUCCGCAUCAUUUAAAAAAUAAGCGCAUUCAACCAAUUGACAAAGAGAAAGUUGCAGCCAUUAUCGCACAGGCAUUGAAAAGGGUUGACGCUGAAUCUUCUGCACCUGCAUCUACAAAAAUAGAAUCUCCUGAAACAUUUGAUUCACAUAGUCAAGAUGCAACAUCUGACAUUGAACCAACAUUGGAGAUACGUGAAGAACAAUAUGAAAUUCAUAUAGAAAGAACAACAGGUGGUUUAGGCCUGUCAAUUGCCGGUGGUAAAGGAUCGACACCUUUUAAAGGUGAAGAUGAGGGAAUUUUUAUUUCAAAAGUUACUGAAGGUGGACCUGCAGAUCUGGCUGGUUUAAGGAUAGGAGAUAAAGUAAUAUCUGUAAAUGGAGUAUCGGUAGUAAAUGUAGAUCAUUACGAUGCCGUAGAAGUGCUAAAAGCGUGUGGACGUGUCCUUGUAUUAGUUAUUAUAAGGGAAAUCACAAGGAUAGUUCCACCAUAUGAGGAAACGACGAGAAAAGAUUCCGUAUGUUCUAGUUUGAGUACAAGUAGAGCACCAAGUGCAACAUCAUAUGUUUCGUCCACAGCAUUAUCGCAUACUUUGGAAAAUGGUGAUACGUCCACAUCCCAUGAUACUCCGAAGACUAGAAAGAUUCCUGAACCUAUAACAACUAUAAAAUCGAAUAGUGACCCUUUGGUGCCGGUUCUUGUUCAUACAACAUUAAUACGUGAUCAAAAUGGGCUCGGAUUUAGUAUUUCUGGUGGUGAAGGUACAUCUAAAAAUAAUAGCGAUGUAAUAACCAUUUCGAGAAUAACAGAUGGCGGAGUUGCCCAAAAAGAUGGCAAGCUGUUGGUUGGAGAUAAAGUGAUAUCUAUUAACGGAGUAGAGAUGAAAGGAGCGAAACAUGAGCAAGCGGUGGCUUUACUUACCGGCUUGGAAAGAUUUGUUCGAUUGGUAGUCGAACGAGAAAUACCACUUUCUCAAGCGAAUCCUUCUACUAUCGUAACUCCUUCCGAAAAAUCACCACGUGUUAUAGGUGCGCCCAAACCAUACACAGGACUGUAUAAUGCUAACAGUUACAUGGCGAACAGACCUGGAUACGGCGGAUAUCGUCGCUCCAUUGACGCUGAUAAAGCUCUAUCGCCCAGUCCUACGUCUAAGACACCACCACCACCACCGCCACUACCAGCGACCUUUCCUGUGAAAUCCGAUGUCAUCAAUGACGCGCUUAAGAUGAAUGGCAUAACUGAAUCGGGCAACGCGUUGAAGAAUGUUUCGCCAGUGUCCCCUAGUUCAACAAUUAAUCAAGCAUAUCCGCAACCUGCUCCGCGACAUAGUGUUUUGCAGCCGACGUUCGCAUCUACGAAUAAUGCCAGUUCUGCAGGAACAACUCCCAGCGUAAAGCCCUCGCAGAGACCAGCGUCUCCGCAGGAAGAUAUACAGGUACCGAAGCCAAUCACCAACGAGGAAUUUCAGGCUAUGAUCCCCGCUCAUUUCCUCCGACCACCAACAUCCUCGCCUUCACCAGACUCCCAUCAAGGCCCAAUUGUGACAGUGACGAUAAAACAGCCCGAUAAUUUGCCUGGAGAUGUUAGCUUUCCUCCAGCUCCUACCGCACUCGGUAAAGUUACUGAAAUCAUCACAAAGAGCACGCUCACCGAGACCGUCGUAACUCGAGUGACCGACAACCAGUUGAUACAACCGCUUAUUAUUGAGGAUGUUGUCCUUGUAAAAGAAGGCUCUUUGGGCUUCAGUAUCAUAGGAGGGACAGAUCAUUCGUGUACUCCGUUCGGUGCAAAGGAACCUGGAAUUUUUAUAUCUCAUGUUGUUCCUGGUGGCAUAGCGGCCAAGUCUGGUAAAUUAAGAAUGGGUGAUAGGAUACUGAAGGUAAAUGGGACUGAUGUGACAAAAGCUACUCAUCAAGAAGCAGUAAUGGAGCUUUUAAGACCAGGGGAUCAAAUUGUGCUUACUAUUCAACAUGAUCCACUUCCAGAGUGUUAUCAGCUGGUCGAAAUAGAGUACAUCCCUGUGACAGAAUUGGUAAUAAUAAGGGAAAUAGGCGAAAAACUUGGUAUGCAUAUUAAAGGAGGGCUAAGGGGACAAAAGGGUAAUCCACUCGAUCAUACCGACGAGGGCGUUUUUAUAUCGAAAAUUAAUUCCGGUGGUGCAGCUAAGAGAGACGGACGGUUAAAAGUUGGUAUGAGACUGCUAGAGGUCAAUGGCACAUCGUUACUAGGUGCAACUCAUCAAGAAGCUGUAAACAUCCUUCGGUGCUCGGGAAAUACGAUUACUUUGGUUGUAUGUAAAGGUUACGACAAAAGUGAGAUUGAACCGAUAUUAUCGUUAUCCGACAGUAGAGAUCUCAAAGAAACUAAAAUACCCCACGAGUUGAAGGAUUCGACUGCGGAUGGCACCAAAUCUCUGUCGCAAAGUGUAUCUAGUUUAGACCGAGACGACGAGACGACUGCGACAAUUAGGGAGCAAGAAGAAAUGAAUGCUGAACUUGAAUCUUGGGAGAAAGAAGAAGAACGCGCAUUAGUUGAACAAAGAGAAAAAUCCACGCCCGAGAAAGUAUUAGACGUCGUACGAGCAGCGGAAUCAUUAGUAAGCAAAUCAAAUAGUCCUGUUGAUAUGAUACCGCCAAAAUCACCCGGAGGUACCAAAGAUCUUAAAACCACUACCAUUGUCAUGAGUAAACAUACAUUAGCAGCUCAAAAUCCUAAUUCAAGAACAAAUCAGACAGCUGGAACGUCAAGAGACUUUUCUUCGUCAAAAUCAUCCACGCUGCCCACUCCUGCUAAGGCAGCGAGUUUCGAACGUUCCACUUCUAUGCAAACCUUACCUUCUCCGACGAAGAAAAAGUCUUUGUCGAAACGUAGUAUUACGUUUGCCGAUCUGCCGCCAACUUUAAAAGAGAGCUCGAACAAUGCUUAUCCGUCUCAUGUCGAAUCCGCAUCGCCUACAAACGAGCGACAAAUUCGACCGUUGCAGGAUACACUUACUUCUCCCCCUUCACAAAUUAUGUUCUGCGAAAAACCUGCACAUGCACGUUUCCGACUUCCCCCAACGCCUUUAACUGCUCCUGAAUGCAGUGGAAAUAUUGACACUAAGGCUUCCUUUAGCAAACGACAGAUAGCACGCUCUGUUGAUGGCAAGUUUCAGGUUGAGCAGUCUCCAACUUCAUCCCCGACACCACCACUGACAAAAAUGUCAGUCAGUGAUAAGAAGAGAUUAUUCGAAAGUGCUAUGGAAGAACACUUGAAACCGUCCCCUAAACCAGAUAAAAUAUUCAGUUUUUUAAGUCAAGAUGAGGUAGAGAAAAUGAAACAAGAGGAAGAAAAAAAGAUUGCAACUUUGACGCGAGACGAACUCAAAUCAUGGGCACAACUUGACGAAAAUGAAGGUCUCGAAGAUUUGGACCCAAUGGAUGACAAUGGCCGACCUAAGGCCUUAUCUCGGAUGAAGACGAAGAACACUUUUUGAGCCCAGCGGAGCAGCGAGCACUUAGAGCGGAAAAACGUGCCGCUUGGCGUCAAGCGCGUCUUAAGUCUCUCGAGCAGGAUGCACUCCAGGCACAGAUGGUGAUCAAAAAGAUGA
This 5960-nucleotide unclassified non-coding RNA is filed under the name Harpegnathos saltator (Jerdon's jumping ant). RNAcentral describes it as "protein lap4, transcript variant X11". Lineage: Eukaryota; Metazoa; Arthropoda; Insecta; Hymenoptera; Formicidae. The record is from RNAcentral.